Molecule: ribosomal RNA, 253 nt
Filed under: uncultured bacterium
Lineage: Bacteria
Description: partial 16S ribosomal RNA
Rfam family: Bacterial small subunit ribosomal RNA
Source: RNAcentral
UACGUAGGGGGCUAGCGUUGUCCGGAAUCAUUGGGCGUAAAGCGCGCGUAGGCGGCCCGGUAAGUCCGCUGUAAAAGUCAAAGGCUCAACCUUUGAAUGUCAGUGGAUACUGCCGGGCUAGAGUCCGGAAGAGGCGAGUGGAACUCCUGGUGUAGCGGUGGAAUGCGCAGAUAUCAGGAGGAACACCGAUGGCGAAGGCAGCUCGCUGGGACGGUACUGACGCUGAGACGCGAAAGCGUGGGGAGCGAACAGG